Molecule: long non-coding RNA, 1389 nt
Filed under: Olea europaea (common olive)
Lineage: Eukaryota; Viridiplantae; Streptophyta; Magnoliopsida; Lamiales; Oleaceae
Description: long non-coding RNA (OEUR_LNC012027)
Source: RNAcentral
GAAUCAACUCAAAGUGGACGACACGCGGUUUUACAUAUGAUUUUAUCCACAAGCCAUGAAGCCAUACAACAAGUGGCUCUUAAUCGGCUUGAUUGACAAGCCAUGCUAGCUGCUUAAAUUUAUAAUUAAUAAUUGCUUCCAACUUUUAAUUAGUCCAGGCAAAAAACUACAAGGAUAUUGACUUGAUUAUUAUACGAUCUAUUUUAGGUUACAAAACGAGUACAAAUCCUAAAGAGAAAUUUCAGGUUCUUUGCCCAUUCUAAUACGAAGUCAGACCACAAAUUUGAAGACGAAUGAUGGAUCUGAAACGUUGUUAUUUUAUUGGAUUUAAAACACAUGCAAAUAACCUCAGGCAUUUACCUGGAGAUUAACUAUGAAAUAUAAACAUAAAUAUGGGAAAUUGGUAAAUAAAACACACUAAGAAACUAUCUGAAAGAAAACGUGCAGGCUGGAUAUGGAAGCACAUUCUCCUUCGCAGCUUAUUUUAUUCUUCUCGUUCUUCCAUCGCUUUCACAUCUACUCUCUUAUGCAGAACAUUCUUCUUACCUGCAAGAAUACAUUUACUUUCCGUCGUUAGGAUUAAGUAAUUAUUAAUGUUCUAACUUAAUUAUAAGUUGGUGAAAAUAAUUUUUUCAGAAAUUGGAAAUCUAAAUAGUGUUUUCUGAAAAUCAUUAAAAUGCACCUUGGAAAUCUGGUUGCAGGUUCUUAGUAGUGAUGAGGAGGAGGAGGAGGAGAACUGUAGUAGUAAUGGUGGGGUGGUGGGUAGUGGACUGGAGGUGGUGGUGGGGGAGACUUGUAGACGUAUGGCUUCUUGUGAGGUGGUGGUGGUGGAGGGGACUUGUAAACGUAUGGCUUCUUGGGUGGUGGUGGAGGGGACUUGUAGACGUAUGGCUUCUUGGGUGGUGGUGGAGGGGACUUGUAGACGUAUGGCUUCUUGGGUGGUGGUGGAGGGGACUUGUAGACGUAUGGCUUCUUGGGUGGUGGUGGAGGGGACUUGUAGACGUAUGGCUUCUUGGGUGGUGGUGGAGGGGACUUGUAGACGUAUGGCUUCUUGGGUGGUGGUGGAGGGGACUUGUAGACGUAUGGCUUCUUGGGUGGUGGUGGAGGGGACUUGUAGACGUAUGGCUUCUUGGGUGGUGGUGGAGGGGACUUGUAGACGUAUGGCUUCUUGGGUGGUGGUGGAGGGGACUUGUAGACGUAUGGCUUCUUGGGUGGUGGUGGAGGGGACUUGUGGACGUAUGGCUUCUUGUGAGGUGGUGGUGGUGGAGGGGACUUGUAGACGUAUGGCUUCUUGGGUGGUGGUGGAGGGGACUUGUAGACGUAUGGCUUCUUGGGUGGUGGUGGAGGGGACUUGUAGACGUAUGGCUUCUUGGGUGGUGGUGGAGGGGA